Molecule: ribosomal RNA, 446 nt
Filed under: uncultured bacterium
Lineage: Bacteria
Description: partial 16S ribosomal RNA
Rfam family: Bacterial small subunit ribosomal RNA
Source: RNAcentral
CCUACGGGUGGCAGCAGUCGAGAAUCAUUCACAAUGGGGGAAACCCUGAUGGUGCGACGCCGCGUGGGGGAAUGAAGGUCUUCGGAUUGUAAACCCCUGUUAUGUGGGAGCAAAUUAAAAAGAUAGUACCACAAGAGGAAGAGACGGCCAACUCGGUGCCAGCAGCUGCGGUAAUACAGAGGUCUCAAGCGUUUUUCGGAAUCACUUGGCGUAAAGCGUUGGUUGGCUGUUUCGUAAGUCGUGUGUGAAAGGCGCGGGCUCAACCCGCGGACGGCACAUGAUACUGCGGGACUAGAGUAGUGGAGGGGGAACCGGAAUGCUCGGUGUAGCAGUGAAAUGCGUAGAUAUCGAGAGGAACACUCGUGGCGAAGGCGGGUUCCGGGACAUUAACUGACGCUGAGGCACGAAGGCCAGGGGAGCGAAAGGGAUUAGAUACCCCAGUAGUC